GGGGGGGGGGGGGGGGGGGGGGGGGGGGGGGGGGGGGGGGGGGGGGGGGCGGGGGGGGGGGGGUGCGGGGGGGGCGGGCGGGGGGGUGGGACGUGGGUGACCGGCCGUGGGGUGUGGGGUACGUUCGGGAGCGGGGGGCUAAUACCGGAUAGGAGCUCCUGCUGCGUGGGGGGGGUUGGCACGUUACGGCGGUUGGGGAUGGAAUCGCGGCUUCUCGGCGUGUUGGUGGGGUGGUGGCUUACCAAGGCUUUGAGGGGUAGCCGGCCUGAGAGGGUGUCAGGCCACAGUGGGACUGAGAUACGGCCCAGACUCCUACGGGCGGCAGCAGUGGCGAAUAUUGCACAAUGGGCGGAAGCCUGAUGCAGCAACGCCGCGUGCGGGAUGACGGCCGUCGGGUUGUAAACCGCUUUCGCCUGUGACGAAGCGUGAGUGACGGUAAUGGGUAAAGAAGCACCGGCUAACUACGUG
This 468-nucleotide ribosomal RNA is filed under the name uncultured bacterium. Its description in RNAcentral is "partial 16S ribosomal RNA". The stretch from base 65 to 468 matches the Rfam family "Bacterial small subunit ribosomal RNA", at positions 39 to 507 of the family's 1533-position model. The record is from RNAcentral.